GCAUCGGUAGUUCAGUGGUAAAAUGCUCCCGGCCCGGGUUCGAUUCCAGGCCGAUGCA
This 58-nucleotide transfer RNA is filed under the name Cordylochernes scorpioides. Its description in RNAcentral is "tRNA-Ser". It matches the Rfam family "tRNA". From Rfam's summary of the family: Transfer RNA (tRNA) molecules are approximately 80 nucleotides in length. The record is from RNAcentral. Lineage: Eukaryota; Metazoa; Arthropoda; Arachnida; Pseudoscorpiones; Chernetidae.